GUCUACAGCCAAAUCACCCUGAAUGCACCAGAUCUUGUCUGAUCUUGGAAGCUAAGCAGGGUCUGGCCUGGUUAGUACUUGGAUAGAAGUGCCAUUAUUUUCAGUCUGCAAUCUGGUGACCCAGAAAUGCCAGUGGUGUAAUUC
This is a ribosomal RNA of Nomascus leucogenys (northern white-cheeked gibbon), 144 nucleotides long. The record is from Rfam. NCBI's taxonomy places the organism in Eukaryota, Metazoa, Chordata, Mammalia, Primates, Hylobatidae.